UAGCUGCAGUAUUUUGACUGUACAAAGGUAGCAUAAUCAUUAGUCUUUUAAUUGAAGGCUUGUAUGAAUGGCUUAACGGAAGUAAUACUUUUAUAUUUAUAUGAAUAUUGAAUUUAGUUUUUUAGUUAAAAAACUAAAUUCCAUUAAAGGGACGAUAAGACCCUAUAGAAUUUUAUAGAAUAAGAUGAAUAAUAUUUAUUUUAUUGGGGUGAUAAGUAAUAAACUAUUCUAGUUAACUCAUUUUUUAUGAUUAAAUGAUCCUAAAUUUUAGAUAGAAAGAUAAAAUUACCUUAGGGAUAACAGCAUAAUUUUUUUUGGAAGAUCUUAUUUAUAAAGAAGAUUAUGACCUCGAUGUUGAAUUAUGAGUACACUUAGGGGUAGAUUUUUAAGUGAUUAAGUCUGUUCGACUAUUUAAAUUUUACAUGAUUUGAGUUCAAACCGGCGUGAGCCAGGUUGGUUUCUAUCUUUUAAAUUU
This 475-nucleotide ribosomal RNA is filed under the name Syntomoza tahuata. RNAcentral's name for it is "partial large subunit ribosomal RNA". It matches the Rfam family "Bacterial large subunit ribosomal RNA", at positions 1928 to 2652 of the family's 2925-position model. The record is from RNAcentral. Lineage: Eukaryota; Metazoa; Arthropoda; Insecta; Hemiptera; Liviidae.